UACGAAGGGGGCUAGCGUUGUUCGGAAUUACUGGGCGUAAAGCGCACGUAGGCGGAUUGCUAAGUCAGGGGUGAAAUCCCGGGGCUCAACCUCGGAACUGCCUUUGAUACUGACAGUCUUGAGUCCGGAAGAGGUGAGUGGAAUUCCUAGUGUAGAGGUGAAAUUCGUAGAUAUUAGGAAGAACACCAGUGGCGAAGGCGGCUCACUGGUCCGGUACUGACGCUGAGGUGCGAAAGCGUGGGGAGCAAACAGG
Molecule: ribosomal RNA, 253 nt
Filed under: uncultured bacterium
Lineage: Bacteria
Description: partial 16S ribosomal RNA
Rfam family: Bacterial small subunit ribosomal RNA
Source: RNAcentral